CGACGCUUUACAAAGCGUCGUCGGAGGCCCAUUCUUCCUUACAAAUCCCUAACCCCCUCCCCUUCUCUCUCUGUCGCUCGCUUUCAAAAGCGAUCCCUAACCCCUCCAGCCGCCGCACCCCCCUCCCCUCCUCUCUUCGUUGCUCUUUCUCGAUCUCCAGAUUCAAGAAGCCAUCUCCUUCUCCGACCAAGUCCUCCUCUUCCUCUAAUCCCCCUC
This 216-nucleotide long non-coding RNA is filed under the name Phoenix dactylifera (date palm). Its description in RNAcentral is "long non-coding RNA (PDAC_LNC002732)". Lineage: Eukaryota; Viridiplantae; Streptophyta; Magnoliopsida; Arecales; Arecaceae. The record is from RNAcentral.